CAAAUGCAGUAUUUUGAAAAAUAAAGAUAAAACAUGAUCAUUGCAUGUUUAUCAAAUAGAAUUUUAAAAUAUCUAGUAGAUGUGUGAGUGCCUUGUGUAUGUGUGUGUGUGUGCGUGUGUGUGUGUGUGUGUGUGAGAGAGAGAGAGAGAGAGAGAGAGAAGGAGGGAGAGGGAGAGGGAGAGGGAGAGGGAGAGGGAGAAGGAAAGGGAGAGAGGGAGAGAGAGGGAGAGAGGCAGGCUAGGUACUGUAAUUUUAAUUGCUUGUAAUCUAACUUGCCUUUUUGUUCCUUUUUUUCUUUCUUUCUUUCUUUUCUUUUUUUUUUUUUUUUGUAUCAGUUAAUCUGUUGGUUACAUUUUCAGCCUUCCUUUGCUUCUGGUUUCAUUUUCAGAUGAAAAAAUGCUAGGCACACAGUGCUGCUGUCUGGUUGCCAUGGCGACCACAGCCUAUUAUCCUGCCUUGUCAUUCAUCAAGAAAGAAUUGCACUUGACAGAGGGAGAGGAAAAUGCCUGCAGUCUGCAGCAUAGGAGGAAAAAAAGGUUCUCUUUUCUUCUAUUUAAGCCACCUCACCUUGAGUGUAAAUGGGCAACUCGGUUGAGGAAUAAAGAACUUCUGAAGUUCAGGUUGUAUUCUGUUGGAAGACAACUUCCCUACCAGAGGCCACGCUGCACCACCACACACCGAGAUGCUGAAAUCAUAUUUCUACACUAUCUGCAUCUGACCCUGCUAAUUCACCUCAGUCACUGUGCUCAUUCCCAAUGCCAAGGCCUGUUCCAGGGAAUGUGAGGCUCCUAUGAGGUCAAAGUAGGGAAGCAGAGUCUCCUCACCUGUUGAUUUAAUUCCCUGUGGAUCAGAGCAGACCCUGACAAAGGAUGGAAAGAAGACUAGAGGAGACUGGUUCACCUCCUGGGAAGACUCCAACAGGCAGUUGGUUUUGUAUGUCGCUGCCCUAAUUGAAUUCUCUUGUCUUUCUUCUGGGCGUUCAGAGAGUGCUGGCCUCCUGCUUCUAGGAGUAGUGGUAAGGGCUAGCAGUUGAAGCACUGGUUUAGAUAAAGUUGCAAAUUUGAGAAAGUUAGGUUUUGCUGCUCACAUCAGAUUUUCUAUCACAACUUUUCCUUGAAUACUUCUUUUUCUUAUUCUAUAUAUAUAUUUUUUCCCCUCAAAAAUAUCCUCUACCACAACCUCCAUUGUCUUCAGGCCUCGGCUCCAGAUCCUCCAGAAUCCUGCACCUCCCCAGCAUCCAACCAGCAGGCUGGCCUUUCCCAAGUAGUGUCACGUGCUCUGGGCUUUUCUCCCUACCCGCACCCCACAUAC
This 1312-nucleotide long non-coding RNA is filed under the name Vulpes vulpes (red fox). RNAcentral describes it as "lncRNA (ENSVVUG00000020685.1)". The record is from RNAcentral. Lineage: Eukaryota; Metazoa; Chordata; Mammalia; Carnivora; Canidae.